AAAACAAAAGGGAAAAAUAAAGAAAAACUAUUAGGAGACGUGUGAGAGAGAGAGAAGACGAAGAAGAGAAAGAGGGAAGAGAGACCAUGAAGAGAGAUGAGCAACAGCCAUUGUUUCGCUCAUGACGGCCAUUGCUUCAUUCGAGCAAUUCUUCGGAGUUACCUCCUUUGUAGCCUCGUUCGUCUUCGCUUCUCCCUCCGGUCUUCCCUUCUCCUUCCGAUCAACGAAUACCCGCGAACGAAGCAAACAGAGCCGUCUCACCUCUCCCUCCGGCCGGAGCUCUCGCACCUUCCCUCCCACCGCCCAAUUUCAGAUAGCGGAAUACGGAAAAGGGUUUGUGCAAGCAUCACAAGAUACUUGGAAGCUAUUUCAGGAGCGAAAAAUGGAAACCAUUGUUGACUCGGACAUGACCAGCUCAAUCUGCUUCUUCACAGGAGUUUGCAGCGGCUCAAUCUGUGUUAUUGUUGUAGCUGCUUGGACUGCUAGAGUCCACCAGGGUUUCACAGCCACCAUCUCCCUUCUAGCCUUCUUCAUCGGCUACCUAAUGGAACAAUCAAAGGCCAACAUCGCGAACAGAGAAAGGAUGUAUACAAAACAUAGGUGUGGUUCUAGGUCAAUCCCUGUUAGAGUAGAAAAACUGGCACGAGAAAAGAAGACGCUACCUGAUCUAGCAGAGUUGUACAAGGAAACUCACUGUAAUGAGAAAACACAUGAGUGGAUCUCAUCUCAAGCUCAGUGUAAUUAUGAAAAUAUGAUACAGACACAGGCUGAUCACCUCUCACAGCUGGGAUCAACCCCUCUGACUGCAGAAGAGCUAUCAAUCAAAGUCCUAAAGCCAAGGUCUGGCUAUGUGAAGGGACUUGGCAUGAGACCUUCAUUCUCUAUUAGGAGGACCACUAUCAUAUAUGCUGAAACAAAUAAUUAUGUGAAGCGCCUUGAGAUGCAAAUAGAGACACAGAAGAAACAAAUACAAAUGCAGAACAAUAAAAAUAGAAGAUCUUGAAGAGGGUAAGAAGAAGCAAGGGGAGAUAAUGGCUGAUGUUGUCAACUUUUUGAGGACCAAAGGAUUCACUGGACACUUUGGAAGUGGAGGGGACUCAUCCACAAGUGGGCAUACUUCUUGAUUGGAUUGGGGUGGCAUUUUUGACGUGCAACAAUGAUGUAAUUUGCUUGAAUGUUCAUUUUUGUUUGAUAAGGAUACACACUUUUUGGAGUUGCACUAGUUAUUGUUGGAUUUUUGGUGGAAUUGAACCAGUUAUAACUUUUGGAUAUUUUGUGAAUAUUUCACUAGUUUAUUGUAUUAGGAUGAAAUUAUUUGUAAUGAUGAAUGGAUAUUUUCAUUUUGUUAA
Camellia sinensis is the source of this 1349-nucleotide non-coding RNA. NCBI's taxonomy places the organism in Eukaryota, Viridiplantae, Streptophyta, Magnoliopsida, Ericales, Theaceae. The record is from RefSeq and is a predicted model, not a curated record.